GAGACGCGACGUCGAAGCCCAUUUGGA
RNAcentral lists this small RNA (27 nucleotides) under Bombyx mori (domestic silkworm). RNAcentral describes it as "ovarian small RNA-15689". The record is from RNAcentral. Lineage: Eukaryota; Metazoa; Arthropoda; Insecta; Lepidoptera; Bombycidae.